Molecule: ribosomal RNA, 3752 nt
Rfam family: Bacterial large subunit ribosomal RNA
GGUUAAAUAUCAUUCAAGCGCAUAUGGUGGAUGCCUCGACAUCAAAAGACGAUGAAGGACGCAGCAGCCUGCGAUAAGCCUCGGUUAGGUGGCAAGCAACCUUUGAUCCGUGGAUCUCCGAAUGGGGUAACCCGGUCCGAUGGAAGAUCGGAUCAUCAUUGCCUGAAUUCAUAGGGUAAUGAAGACGACCCGGCAAAUUGAAACAUCUUAGUAGCCGGAGGAAAAGAAAAAGAAUUUUGCAAUUUACAUUUUGCAAUUGUCUUUUAGACGAUUGCGGAAUUGUAAGUUGCUCCAUUCCCUUAGUAGUGGCGAGCGAACAGGGAAGAGCCCAAAUUCUGUAGGUUAUUUUUGGAAAUUUAUUGAUCCGCAAGGAUUGGUUUAUUUUUAAAAUUAAGGGUGCAAGCCCGUAAUGCCUAUAGAACGUUGUAAAAUAAUUGCAUCUAAGUUCUUGCAAGCUUAAGUAGGGUAAUAUGAAAUAUGACUUCCCUAGUGGAAUGCCUCUGGAAAGUGGCAACCAUAGAAGGUGACAGUCCUGUACGCGAAAGGGGUUAUAGCUCUACAGUGAUUAUUUUGAGUACCGCGGGACUCGUGAAACCCUGCGGGAAGCAGGCCAGACUAUUGGCCAAGGCUAAAUACUUUUGAUGAUCGAUAGCGAACAAGUACCGUGAGGGAAAGGUGAAAAGCAUCCCGGUGAGGGAAAUGAAAUAGUAUCUGAAACCAUAUGCUUACAAAGAGUCGGAGUCCCGCGUUCGCGGGAUGACGGCGUUCCUAUUGAAGAAUGAGCCAACGAGUUUGUUUCAAAUGGCAAGCCUAAGUUCUUAACGGACGGAGGCAAAGUGAAAGCGAGGGUUAAUAACCCGAUUUAGUCAUUUGUACAAGACCCGAAGCCAGGUGACCUAGCCAUGACCAGGGUGAAUCCCGCGUAACAGCGGGAGGAGGCCCGAACCCGUAUGCUGUGCAAAACAUUGGGAUGAGUUGUGGCUGGCGGAGAAAUUCCAAUCGAACUUGGCGAUAGCUGGUUCUCCUCGAAAUAGCUUUAGGGCUAGCCUUGUCGUUGCGCCCGGGGGUAGAGCACUGAAUGGGUGCGGAUGGAGUGAUCCUACUUCACCCAACCAAACUCCGAAUACCGGGUUAGCUUUAUCGGCAGGAGUAAGACUGUGGGGGCUAAGCUCCAUUAGUCAAAAGGGAUACAGCCCAGACCAUCAUUUAAGGUCCCUAAAUCUAAGCUAAGUGUAAAAGGUGGUGACAUGACUCAAACAACCAGGAGGUUGGCUUAGAAGCAGCCAUCCUUUAAAGAAAGCGUAACAGCUCACUGGUCAAGUUGUCUUGCGCCGAAAAUUUAUCGGGGCUCAAGCUUAGUACCGAAGAUAUGGGUCCGGCGGAAUUUAUUUCGUCGGACGGUAGAGGAGCAUUCUUUAACCGCUGAAGUCAGACCCGUGAGGGCUGGUGGAGGUUAAAGAAGAGAGAAUGUUGGCAUGAGUAGCAAAAAGGCGGGUGAGAACCCCGCCCACCGUAAGCCUGAGGUUUCCUGGGCAACGCAAAUCGACCCAGGGUUAGUCGGUCCUAAGGCGAGGCCGAAAGGCGUAGUCGAUGGACGAGCUGGUUAAUAUUCCAGCACUACUUUUGGUUUUCGACGGGGUGACGCAUUAGUGGAGAUUUGACGUUCUAUGGUAUGGACGUUGCUGAUUUGGAAAUGGCAGUAGGCAAAUCCGCUGCCGCAAAUUUCCGACUUGGCAAAAGGCUGAAAGCUUGCUGAUGCCAAUCAAGUCAAAACUGAUGUCUAGAAAAACCUCUAGAGUUAAGCUGAAAGUAACCGUACCGCAAACCGACACAGGUAGGCGGGCAUAAGUGUGCUAAGGUGUACGAGAGAAACCUCGUUUAGGAACUCGGCAAAAAAGCGUCCGUAAGUUCGCAAUAAGGGCUUCCCGCCUUUGGCGGGACGCAGCUAAAGAUCUCAAGCGACUGUUUAUCAAAAACAAAGGUCCCUGCUAAACCGUAAGGUGAUGUAUAGGGGCUGAUGCCUGGCCAGUGUCCGAACGUUAAGGGGAGAGGUGACCCCCGCGCAAGCGGGAUGAGCCUUGAACUGAAGCGCGGAUGAACGCCGGCGGUAACUAUAACCGUCCUAAGGUUUUGUUCUUAUAUAUAUGAGAACAAAAGGACUGGGACGGAUUAUAAAAGAAGUCUGCCUCGUUUUACAGCAAUGUAAAAUUGGUCCGUAAAAACUUAGCUGUAUGCUGGGAAGUGGUAAUCCAUGACCAGCAGGAAAGGCUUAAUAGUUAAAUUUUGUUAUGAUAUUAAUAACAAAAUUGUUGAAAGCGGCUUCUAUUGAAAAAACAAUGUGAAUAGAAGCGUUGAAAUAGAAGUAGUUGGAAAACAAACAUAGUUGUUUUUUAAACAACCUAAAUAAUUACUUCCGCAGCUAUUUCAACUAUUAAGAAUCCUCAGAGACUAUACGCUAAGCCCCGAUCAAGCAUCGGGUGAAGAUAUAGUCCUUCGUAAAAGGGAAACGAAGAGCGAAAUUCCUUGUCGGGUGAGUUCCGACCUGCACGAAUGGCAUAACGACUUGAGAACUGUCUCAACGAGGUACUCGGUGAAAUUGCAAGACGAGUGAAGAUGCUCGUUAUCCGUGGCUGGACGAAAAGACCCCGUGAAGCUUUACUAUAACUUGAUAUUGGCUUAAAGUUUCGCAUGUUCAGAAUAGGUGGGAGUCCCGCCUUUGGCGGGACGACAGUGAGAUACCACCCUUGUGAUUUUUUAAGUCUAACCUUUUGCCCUGAAGCGGGUGAAGGGACAGUAUCUGGUGGGUAGUUUAACUGGGGCGGUUGCCUCCCAAACAGUAACGGAGGCGUUUACAAAGGUUGGCUAAUCCCGGAUGGAAAUCGGGAUGAUAGUGCAAACGCAUAAGCCAGCUUUACUGCGAGUCUAACCAGACAAGCAGUUGCGAAAGCAGAAGUUAGUGAUCCGACCGUACGAAAUAGGACGGCGGAAGCUCAACGGAUAAAAGCUACUCCGGGGAUAACAGGCUAGUCGGGCCCAAUAGUUCACAUAGACGGCCCGGUUCGGCACCUCGAUGUCGGCUCGUCGCAUCCUGGGGGUGAAGAAGCUCCCAAGGGUUUGGCUGUUCGCCAAUUAAAGCGGCACGCGAGCUGGGUUCAGAACGUAAAUUACAUUGCGUUCUAUCACAGAAAUGUGAUAAAAAAAAUCUAACUAAUAUCGGUGAAACCCUAAAUUAAUUUUACGAACUGAUUUUUUUAGGGCAAUACCGAGGGAAGAUUAAUUUUGUGCUAUUGCAGCAUAAAUUAUUCCCCGUAUCGACUGAUGUCCGACGUUAUGUCGGACUGAGAUAGAAGGUACCUGAUAUUCAGGAAUUAAACUUCUAUCAGACGUUAGCUCCUCCUCAAAUGUUUUUGAGAGGAUGAAGGUAUAGUCAGUGCCUAAAGCAAUUUAGGAAUAACAUGCGUGAGACAGUUCGGUCUCCUAUCCGCCACGGACGUUGAAACUUGAGAAGGCUCUUCCCUAGUACGAGAGGACCGGGAAGAACGAACCUCUAGUGUACCAGCUGUUCUACCAAGGGCACCGCUGGGUAGCUAAGUUCGGUUUAGAUAAGCGCUGAAAGCAUAUAAGCGCGAAGCUGUCUUCAAGAUUAGGUUUCAUUAUAGGCCCCUCAAAGAUGAUGAGGUUGAUAGGCCUCAGGUGUAAGUGCAGUAAUGCAUUCAGCCGAGAGGUACUAAUAGGCCGAGAUAUUUAACCAC